AUACAACCGUCGUAUCUCCCGUCCCCUUGUUCUCUAAUGGAUGAGACUAUGUUUCGAGUUUGCUUAUCGAUUCUUUGGAUGAGUUGAGAUGAUAGAAUAGAUGCUUCUCCAUGUCUAU
Molecule: small RNA, 118 nt
Filed under: Arabidopsis thaliana (thale cress)
Lineage: Eukaryota; Viridiplantae; Streptophyta; Magnoliopsida; Brassicales; Brassicaceae
Description: ATSL191180
Source: RNAcentral